GGGCCGGUAGCUCAACAGGCAGAGCAAAAGACUUUUAAUCUUUAGGUUGAGGGUUCGAGUCCCUCCCGGCUCACCA
RNAcentral lists this transfer RNA (76 nucleotides) under Candidatus Pacearchaeota archaeon. Its description in RNAcentral is "tRNA-Lys". It matches the Rfam family "tRNA". Rfam says of the family: Transfer RNA (tRNA) molecules are approximately 80 nucleotides in length. Their secondary structure includes four short double-helical elements and three loops (D, anti-codon, and T loops). The record is from RNAcentral. Lineage: Archaea; Nanobdellati.